This 73-nucleotide transfer RNA is filed under the name Camelus bactrianus (Bactrian camel). It matches the Rfam family "tRNA". Rfam says of the family: Transfer RNA (tRNA) molecules are approximately 80 nucleotides in length. Lineage: Eukaryota; Metazoa; Chordata; Mammalia; Artiodactyla; Camelidae. The record is from Rfam by way of RNAcentral. RNAcentral also lists the same sequence under 2 other names.
GAAGGCAUAGCUCAAGUGGUAGAGAGCAUGCUUAGCAUGCAUGAGGUCCUGGGUUCAAUCCCCAGUACCUCCU